Molecule: ribosomal RNA, 361 nt
Filed under: Bacillota bacterium
Lineage: Bacteria; Bacillati; Bacillota
Description: bacterial SSU rRNA
Rfam family: Bacterial small subunit ribosomal RNA
Source: RNAcentral
ACUGGGCAUAAAGCGUGCGUAGGCGGAUGAUUAAGUCAGAUGUGAAAUACCAGGGCUCAACCCUGGGGCUGCAUUUGAUACUGGUUAUCUAGAGUGCAGGAGAGGAGAGCGGUAUUCCUAGUGUAGCGGUGAAAUGCGUAGAGAUUAGGAAGAACACCAGUGGCGAAGGCGGCUCUCUGGACUGCAACUGACGCUGAGGCACGAAAGCGUGGGGAGCAAACAGGAUUAGAUACCCUGGUAGUCCACGCUGUAAACGAUGAAUACUAGGUGUCGGGGGUUUACCCUCGGUGCCGCAGUUAACGCGUUAAGCAUCCCGCCUGGGGAGUACGGUCGCAAGGCUGAAACUCAAAUGAAUUGACGG